UACGUAGGGUGCAAGCGUUGUCCGGAAUUAUUGGGCGUAAAGAGCUCGUAGGCGGCUUGUCACGUCGGGUGUGAAAGCCCGGGGCUUAACCCCGGUUCUGCAUUCGAUACGGGCUAGCUAGAGUGUGGUAGGGGAGAUCGGAAUUCCUGGUGUAGCGGUGAAAUGCGCAGAUAUCAGGAGGAACACCGGUGGCGAAGGCGGAUCUCUGGGCCAUUACUGACGCUGAGGAGCGAAAGCGUGGGGAGCAAACAGG
RNAcentral lists this ribosomal RNA (253 nucleotides) under uncultured bacterium. Its description in RNAcentral is "partial 16S ribosomal RNA". It matches the Rfam family "Bacterial small subunit ribosomal RNA", at positions 524 to 776 of the family's 1533-position model. The record is from RNAcentral.